GUGGGGUCAAAGGUUCCCUGAGGCCCCAGGGCCCCAACCUGUGGGCACCGAGCAGCAGUGGAGGAGACAGGAGGGGUCUGGGGAAUACAGGUGCUGGGCUGUGGCAGCCUGUGACGGAGAGGGGCAAAGAAGGCCGGGUGUGGGGCGGCGGCAGCCCUGAGUGCUCUCCUCCCAGAGCUGAUGUUCUGCCUUCGGGAAGGAAGGGCCAGGACAAGGAGUUGGUUCACAGUGGACCCUUUCUCCCUGGGAUUCCAUCAGUCCCCUGCUCCUGACGUCCCCUCCCCAACCCUGCCAUCUCUUGCCUCCCGCUCACCCCACCCCAUUCCCGCCCAAGUCAUCAGCAUUUUACAGAUGAAGGAACUGGGGAUCCGGAAAGGGUGAGCAUCUCCAGAUCACACCCCCAAACUUGGGUCCUGGUCCCUCUGGCCUCCAGGAGGCUGCUGUGUCCAGGGACCCAGGGUGUGGCUUAGCCGGGUCUGAGCAGCUGAGCAGAGGAGGUUCCCAGUGCUGGGAUCACACAAGUGCACCCUGUGCCCUCUGACCUCUGCCCCUCAGACCCCACCCAGUGCAGGAGACCUGGGGUCUCUAGGGGACAGGAAAUGAAUCUGAAAUGCUGCCUCUCCUGUGGAAGGGCCAGCUCAGAAGCCAGGUCACACACAGUGUCUAACCCCACUUCAGACCUUCGCCAAAGUUGCUCCUCAAACCGCACCUCCUCCAGGUCCUCACUGUCGGAUGUGGACAUUUACUACAUUAACACCAGCUCUGAGUCACUUCCUUUCAGUUGGUGGUUAUUUGGACUCCACCACCCUUCCGACCUGCUCCGGACACCAGCAGCCCUCAAACCAGCUCAGACACCUCCAAGUCCCCUCCAGCUCACCUCCCCGACCAGACCCACUUUUCUUUAUGACUGUCCCCGGUUUAGGCCAGUUUACUAUGACGUGUGCCUCCAGCAUCACCCCUGGGCCACAACCUCAGGCUUUCCACCUCCGCCUUGGCCUGAGCCACGUGGGGUCCCAGCUCAUUGGGAUCCACGCCUCACCUGAGCUCCAGCUCUUGGAGCUGAGAGGGAUGGUCACCAGGAGGGGGUGAGCCUGGAACCCUGGCGUUCUCCUCCCUCCCCGACCCCCAGCAUCCAACUCAGAGAUCCUCUUGGAGGCAGCCACCACCCUCCAUGUCCAUGGACACCCUCCAGUCUUCCAGACAUACCUGUUCCCAACUGUCUCCUGCUCUGCUUUGCUUUUGCUGUCCAUCCACCCCUGCACUUAGAGCAGCCAGAGCAAAUCCUGUCUCUCCCCCAGUCCUGCGGGGCUUCCGUGGCUCUGAGCACGCAGCCCACCAUCCUGGCCCCCUCUCCAGUGUCUCCCCUGCUGCCCUCACCCCACACCACCUCACCCAGACACAGAGGAUGCAUCCCAUGCCUCUGGCCUCUCUCCACCCUCGUCUUUCCCUCACAUCUGCUCAUCAAAGGCCCUAAUCAGACAGGAGCCUGCGGGUGAGAAGCACCUGCUGCCGUGGCUGGAGUUUGGAGCCAUAACAUCAGGGCCAAAGCCAAGUUUUGCCACAAACUUGCUGUGAGGUCUCAGGCCAGAAAUGGUCUACACAGAAAUACCUGUGUGUGGACACUCUGCUUCUGCUUUCCUUUCUAUCAGAAUGGCACCCACAUCAGUGGUUGGCUUUGAGUUUUAGAGGAGGCAACAACUGCGAAAAGUAUUGACGGGGAAGGGCAGGCUGCGCUCAGUGUCAGCUCUCUGGAGUUCACCAACACUUUCUCAGAGCCGUGGAGACCCCUGCCCGCCUCACAGCUCUGUUCUGAGGGCCAAGUUAGACGCUUGCCCUGUGGAGACCCAACCAGCUGGAGAAUGUGACAACUUGUGUGGCAUGCUGCUGUGACCGUGAUCCCAGGCUGUACAUCACAAUCAUUUGGGGACACUUCUUCUGCAUUGCAAUAUAUUGAAAACUCACAUACAUCAUGCAGCUCGUGCCACCUCCAUCCAAGGAGGUGACUCACAUUCUGCCCCAGCUCCUCUUCUAUGUACUCCUGGGGUGGGCGCAUGCAGGGAUGUCACCUCUAAGUGCUACUAUGAAAAUGUUGCCUGGAAGGCAAAAGCUUCUAGGAACCCCUGCAUUUCAAAGCAGAAGCCUUCCAGCUCACAGACGUCGGCCUGCCACUCACAUCUCUGCUUGGCCUGUUUUUGUAGCAUGUCCACCUCCCUCUCCAAUCUGGAGGACCUGCCCUUAGCCUGGAGGAGCUUGGCCAAGGACUCUACGCUCAGGGCCAGGGACUCCUCCGGACUUGCUCAUAGUUCCCCUCCUCAUCUCCAGCCAUGUCCACGGAUGCCCUGUCCCCUGGCAAAUUCUUUAAAUCGUGUCUUUCCUGUGACGCCAAGUUGACAAGCAGAUUUUUCAGCUUUUGGUUUUCUUCUUCACACAGUUUUAGGGAAUCCUUUAGCUCAGAGACAUUCUCAGACAGAUUCUUACUAAUUUCCCUGCUGAUGUUAAGAGCUGUUUUUGUCAAUUUCAGCUUUCCCUCAAAGCCUGUCAAACCUUUAUAAAUCGGAUUUCCAUGGACAGCUCUUCCAACUCUGGUUAUUCUCUGGUUUGAAGGCAUGGCAGCCUUUGCUCCCUCUGAACAAGAGAACUCCCAGAAGAAAAAGGCUCCCCAAGGGAUAUGCCACCAGGACAGCUGAAGUUGGUCCCAGGCCAGAGGUCUUCAGGCCAUGAGCCCACCAGCACCUCAGCACAGUGACCCAUCAGGGGGACCGCACUCUGAAUGGCCCCAAGCACUGGCUAGGCCACAAACCAUGGACGUUUCUGAGCCUGGCUCCAACAGAGGCAGCAACCUCUGCCCUCACAGACAGCCGCUGACCUGGUCCCUCCACUGGAAGAUGGAUUUCCGCCUGGACUGGUGGCUUCAGAUUUCUCAUGUCUGGGUCAAGAUGCCCACAUUUUUGUGUUCAGGUUGUUUUGUCGAGUUUUCUGGGCUUCCUUCUGUUUUACAGAUUGAUUGAAUCGUGGUGGGGUUUGGGGGCAGCUGGGACUGGUUCUUCUCUUUCUGGUGGUUGGGGCACCACCUGGGGGCCAGGGACAUGGCCAGGGCCAAGGUAGCCAGGAGGCAAUGCGAAGUUUCCGAGGCUGCUUUUCUCACUCUCUGCAACUUCUGACCUCAGAUUGUCUGAGUGCAGCAUGGUUGAGGGGGUGGCACAUGACUGGUAUUCGGUAUUUUUUUUCUACCAGGUAGCAGCCUCUUCCAGCCAGCUCACCUGGGCCUGGCAGGGGUGCUGACCAUCCCAGGCAGAGGAGGGCUCAUCGCAGAACGAAAAGGGAAAACUUGGGGCCAGACACCUGGUGUGCAACUGGGUUGGGGGGUCAUUGGUAGCUCUUUGUUGCGCUGGGGGUGGGAGGCUCCUAGUUGGCUAGGUGUCCAGGGUGCUCACUGACCCUGUGCUGAGCUGGCUCAGAGGGCUCCUGAUUGGCCGGGUGUCUGCUGCUGUGUGCUGACGUGGUCGGAGGGCUCUCAGAUAUCCUAUCCUGAAUCUAGUUUCGAUGCCGGAGAUCUGAAGGUCCCUGGGCCACCAGCACCUCAGGUGAGUGGUCUGUUGUACUCUGACUCCAAAUGGGAAUGUAGGUGAGGAGCGCCUCCGGGUUUGGGUCCCUGAGGCGCCAGAUGCAGGUGCGGGCCUCGCGGGACCGCAGAGGGGCAGGAUGGUGUGGCGAACAGGAAGGUGAAGCCCAUAGUGUGGGUGAGAGGCCUGGGGCGGGACGAUGGGUGGAGGGCGCGCUGUCCUUCGGGUUGAAGAAUGUGGUGGAGAUAGCGAAGUGAAGGAGUAGAGGCGGAGGUGCCCUGUCUCUCAGCAAGGCCUCAGAUAGGUGCCACGGCUUUUAUAACCACCCUGACUCGUCACAAUGCCUCCCUGUGACGUCACAGCUGCGCUCCUGGCCAAUCGCCAAGUGAUUCUCAGCUGGUCUUGCUUGUGCGGCCAAUCACCACGGAGCUUGGCGGGCCAAUCGCCAGGCGGCUCUCACUGUGGCCCUCUUGACGUCACGACCCUGACACCAUCUCCCAUCCCCUAGGGGUGGGGGGUGUUCACACCGACCCUUGCCCAUUGCAGCACCCAGUUCUCGCUCCUCCUUCGCACAGCCUUCCUUUCACAGGUGGAGCAAAUGGGGGUGGGGGCAGUGACCGGCCCACUCAGGGCAGCCACCUGGUGCUCCCAGGACCACGGGAUCUGAGAGCUGGCGUAAGGGGGGCUGUUCCUCACGUGAUGUGAGUCCUCCCUGGGGACCCGCCCAUCGCCAAAGCUCCGCCCAGGCGUUUCCAUGGUGACCCUAACCACACCCCGGAUUCUGAGGUUCCCUUUGCUGCCUAAGCUUCUCCCAUCUGAUAUCAGUUCUGAGGAGGGGACCUCUGGGAAACGGAAAUCAGUGCGGGGUGGGUGGGCUGCUGUCCGAGGGCCUCGGUGAGAGCCUCUGGAAGAGGAUCCCAGAGGAGCUGCCAUGGCCUGCCCCUGCUGACAGGGUGAAUAAACGCUGGAGCCUCCUGACUCUGGACUCGGAAGAACACCUGUCGUUUUCAUGGUAGACAUUUACCACCUACAGACCUCAAGGAGCGGGACAAGCACAGUGGUGUCCACCAAGGGGACAGACAAGGACAGGCCUGGAGAGAGGGUGACGCACUGAAGGCUCCAGGGGGUGACCUGGAGAGGUGGCACAAGCUGAUGGCCUGCAGCUGGGUCUGGUCUGGCCCAUGCAGUGUUUUAAAGAAAUUCAAAAUAGUUGCUAAAAUUGAAAAUCAGGAUAUUUCACAUUAAAAAAUCAGCACUGUGGGCUUCUGUUGAAAAAUGGGGAGAUUCUGUUGAAAAAUGUGGAGGGGCUGCACUGAGCCUGUAUUCCCACUUGGCCACCUUUGGGCAGAUGCCGCUUCAUAGGGAGCCUGCACUAUCCAGUCCAGCCCAGGGCCCACUCCACGCUCGUCCCUGUCAUCUGCAUCUGUGGGCACAUUCUCUGAGUACUCAGCCCUCUGUGUCCAGCUACGUAGGGGCUUAAGUCGUUCUCAACAAACCUAUGGGCAAUUAAAUUUCCCAAAUGUGACAUUGCAAUCUGACCCAAUCUUAAUUGCAUCACCAAUGGGCUGCCAAAAGAUUAGAGCUUUUGUACAUACUGGUGGAUUGUAUUUUCCAGAUGAGGUCUUGAAAGCAGACCCUCCAUGCUGGGAUCACUUGUUCCGUGUCAGGCACUGUUCUAAGUAUUUUAAUUGCUGCAACCACCUCAUGCAUGAGGUAGCUACUAAUAGCUCCAUGUCAUACAUGGGGAAACUGAGGCACAGAAAGGUGAAGCAACUUGCUCUGUGUCACACAGCCAGGAAAUGGCAGGACUGGGAUGGGAACCCAGGCAGUUAGACUCCAGAGGGCAUACUCCCAACCACCCUGCUACACCACCUGGCCGCAUAAGACUUCUCUGAGUCUGUCUUCUCAUUUGUGAGAGGCGUGCCGGUCAUCCCUGCCUCACAGGGGGCGAAUGAAAUCGGGUGUGUGAAGCACUUGGUAAACUGCGCGGUGCUUUAUAAACAUCAGUUGUUACUAGUAAUUACUAUAACCUGCAGGUCAGGAUUCAAACCAGAAGCCUGUGGCUGAGGCUAGCCUGCCUGUCAGUCUCCCUCCAGCUGUGGCUCUGUGGCUGCUGGACAGGAAGGGGGUGUCACUAGCACCGAUUCUUGAAAUUCCAAAAUGGUGUGAAGAAAGAAUCAAUUAGAAAGAAUCAAUUAGAGGCUCCAGGGUGGCAGCUGAGGUGUGGGGCCGGUUUUCAAAGUCACAAAGUCUAGUUUAUUUCACCAUCCUUUCCUCCCACCGCUGAGUGAAGCCCCCCUACAAUCACGGCUCCCUGUUGGGAGGUCCAGGCUUGCCCACAGCCAGGGAGAACAGGAGGGUUCACACACCCUCUCCCUGAGCAGUUCCCAGGGCAUCCAUGUACAGGAGUGCAGUCUGUGGACUGCACACAGAUGCUGACGAAGGGAACAAAUGGGCGCUGAAAUCCAGCUCAUGCUCUGUUCACAGCUGUGUGUCCUGUUCUGGGCUGUCUCCAUAGGAAGAAGCAGAGUCUUUGUGCAAAGGCGCCAUCUGGGUGCCUCUGGUGUGUCUACUCAAUUGGUCUCCCCAGAGGGGGCACCAUUUUCAGUUCAUAAGAAGGCCCAUGUGGGCUAGUGGGGGCCCUGGUUAUGUACCCGAAAGAGACAGAUGACAGACUCCUGUGCUGCGCAGCAACUCAACCCCUACCUCUAGCUGCCAGUUCCCCUCAGUCGGGCCCAUGGAUCCCCUCCGUGGUAGCUCACAGUUCUCAUCUAAUCCAUGUUCUCCCAUGGCUGUGGGCCUUUCAUUCCCCUUCCCCCUCCUCCAUCUGAUCCAAGACAAGGUUAUCUGGGGCCAGCUCCCAUGAGCCAAGGCCAAGACCCCAUUUGCUUGCCCUUUGGCCUCUGUUCCUGGUCCCAGUUCUGGUAACCUCCUAGGACCCCUGCUUCCCCGCCUGUACCUUCCAGUUCCCUGGCCCCAAGGCUGGAGAAUUCUCCUAAAUUCCGAGCUCAGCUGCAGAUUCCCACCUAUGGAUAACCUGCUUCACCAGACUUCCAAGUGCUGCUCUGCUGAUGUUGCCAGCACUCCACCCACCUGCCAGGCUAACCCCUGCUCUGUCCCCCACUAUUCACUGUCUGUUUCCACCAGCACUGGAGACCGUCCCGUGACAUGACACCCAGCCUCACCGGGCUGGCUGAGCCUCACCUGUUGGCUCACGUCCCUCAGAAGCCAUCCCACCCCAAUGGUGAAGCUGGGCUGGUUCAGACCGUCCCUGCUGGACUGUCUUGUGAGGAGACAAAUCUACAGCGAUGACCCCGUGGAGCAAUGGUUCUUGACCUGCGUCUGCCCCAGGACCCUGAGGAAUCCACACAUGGCGCCAGAUCACAGGGUGCGCUCAACAGUUUCUGAAUCUUGGCUGUCAAAACUGCAGCCAUUCUUACCCAGAAGACCAUUCAGAAUUUCUGCAGGUGGAUAUGGUGGUGGCUGGAGGGAAUUUAAAAAUGCCCCCUCCUCCUACUGAGAAUCACAUCUACCCCCGCCCUGCUUAGAGGCUUGUCCUCUUGCAAUCACUGCACUAGAGUUUCUUUGUUGACUUUGACUCAGAUGUGACAAGCUCUAGGUCUGAGGAGAGGGGUGGGUUCCUCUAUUUGUAACUUGCUGCUUUCUGUAUCAUCUCUAAGGAUACAUGGCUUUAUUCCUAUCAGCUUGGCUCCCUGCCUUUGAUCCACAGAUGGUUUUGGGGGACCAAGGUGGUUGGAUCCCAAACUUGCCACAAGUUUGGAAGCCCCAAGAUUGAGCUGCCCUGGGUUGGAGACGGCAUCCCUUAUCCCCUCCUCUCAGACCCAAGCUGGCUGGGGAUCUCAAGGCCAGAGGUCCUCCCAAGGGGGCCCCAUUCCACCCUGACACAGGCUCAGGGAAGCCCCAUCUGAGAUGCCAUGAGCACACUCUCCAACCUAGGAGUGCCCAGUGCCAAUCACUGGAACAGAAAGUCAAACUUGGGAGCGUGAGGGGUGUCAGCUCUAACAUCUCCCAGGCCCUCCCCUUACCCACAGGGGCAGACAGGAACCAGACUCAUUAUUACUGUUAAUACUCUGGUCCGGGAAGUGACAGGGCACAUCAGAAGGCCAACCCAGAGGGAAUGCCAGAAAUCCUACUGCCUGGCACCUCUCUUCUCUGAGCCUUUGGAGGGGCCACUCUGGGGCUUCGCAGGCAGCUGGGCUCCUUCUGGUGUCCUCAGCGGUCCAGGAUUGUGCAAGUCUCUGGGCCACCCCCCACCCCGGCCCCC
Molecule: long non-coding RNA, 7848 nt
Filed under: Equus caballus (horse)
Lineage: Eukaryota; Metazoa; Chordata; Mammalia; Perissodactyla; Equidae
Description: lncRNA (ENSECAG00000057714.1)
Source: RNAcentral